Molecule: long non-coding RNA, 1415 nt
Filed under: Salmo salar (Atlantic salmon)
Lineage: Eukaryota; Metazoa; Chordata; Actinopteri; Salmoniformes; Salmonidae
Description: lncRNA (ENSSSAG00000094571.1, ENSSSAG00020083892.1, ENSSSAG00075004408.1)
Source: RNAcentral
AAAAAAUGUUCCUUCUUCAGAAGUUCCAACUAGGCAUGCUAACGUUAGUCAUUUGCUAGUUAUCAUACAGUAGACCUAUAUUAAUAAUUAUAUAGUUAAUAUAAGUAGACAUACAAUCAUAAUUGACAGUAACAGAUAUAAAGCACCCACAAGCUACCGGUGGCUGAAAACACAAUCAUCGCGGGUUGAACGAGUGACAAAUUUCCGGGCAAGGGCGGCCCAUUUAAAAACGAUUCCUUGCUCCCUCGCCCUGCAAGUGUAUACUCGUCAGACAUCAUGAUACUUCAUCAGAACUUAAUUUGAGGGCUGAGGGUCCUACGUGUGUCUUUUAAGUGUUUGGACUGCAGCCAAAAACUCCUCCGUAGUGACCCGUGAAUGAAUUCGGUCACAUGACAGCUCGAUCAGCUGUUCGAUUUCCCUUACCCGCAUGUCAACUGAGCCAGGAUCACAGUCAAACGGAUUGGGAAGUAGGUCCCAAAGUGCUCUUCCAAGCGUUGGAGAAUAGUACACACAUCCCAGCUGCACUAGAGUAAGUCGAGACUCCACAUAACAAAAAGAAACACUAGAACAGACCAGUGUCUGCGGGACGAGAAGUCUUACCAGCUAAUUCGAGUGAGCAAGUGGGCGGCUGCGCUGAUGAUGAACUGGGACUGUGGAGCUGAUUGGUGAUCUGAGAGCAGAGGACUGAGAGAGGCAUUGGUAUAACGCAAGUCUAGGAGCUUUAGCUCCGCCAAGUAAGGGACGUGAUUCUUCCUGUGUUACAGUACUUUCUCUCUCUGGGCUGUUUCGCCACGCCACUGAAAAUCACUAUUGUCGGCAGGUUUCCCUGCCGUCUGUCUUCUCGUUCAGCACCGGAGGCGGGGCCAUCGGUGACAUCACCAAGCUGUCUCACUGUGCGGAUCUGGAUAUCGCUAGACGGACACGUUUACUAUUUUAUUGUUGUGGGGAUAUGGUUCUCAUCGGGCCCUAGAAAUCCAGAACCUAUCCCCACUCUGUAUAUGUUGUCUUGUCUGUCUUUCCCUCCUCCCUAUUUUGUCAUUUAGAGGGGUUGGCAGAGUAGAGUAGGACCAGGGUUGAUCCCAUAUUGUGUGCAGCACCAGAGUGAGAUUGUAGUGCCUUUCACCAUAUUGUUUGCCGUGCCUUCCCUUAGAAUAACUACCUUGUUGUAGUGCCAUAUCAGAAUAAUUCAGUGUGUAUUGGAGUGAGAUUUGUUGUGCCUUUCACCAUAUUGUUGCAGUGCCAUAUCAGAAUAAUGCAGUGUAUCACUUUUACAUGCCUGAUAUUUAUCUGAGGGAGUACGGGGAGGCUCUAUUGUGUCGACACAGUCCGGGAAAUCGUGGGUGCUUUGGGAGGUGGGGAAACAGGGUACAAUCCAUGUUAACCUAUCAAUUGAAAAUAAAAAAUGUACCUUGAGC